RNAcentral lists this small nucleolar RNA (132 nucleotides) under Myotis davidii. The record is from RNAcentral. Lineage: Eukaryota; Metazoa; Chordata; Mammalia; Chiroptera; Vespertilionidae.
GUGCACUCCUCUAUGUUCUGGAGUCACCUUAAAAUUUUUCUUCCUUGUUAUUUAUCACGUGCUAUACAUAUAGUUGAAGGUUAAUUAGCAGUAUAACUAAGUAGUAAUGCUGCCAGUCUCCUUCAGACAAAC